Long non-coding RNA from Cavia porcellus (domestic guinea pig), 803 nucleotides. RefSeq lists it as uncharacterized. The record is from RefSeq and is a predicted model, not a curated record. NCBI's taxonomy places the organism in Eukaryota, Metazoa, Chordata, Mammalia, Rodentia, Caviidae. The transcript has 2 exons.
UCGUCGUCGCGCACGGAGCCUGCGCGCCGCGGGGCCGUGCCGAGGGGCUUCCUGCGGGAGGUGCUGUCCGGAGUGGGUUUCGGCGGUCUUGGCCGGGUCACGCGUCGAACCCUUUAAGGAAGCCUCAGAGGAGGCUUGAGACAAAGACGGGGAGGCCUGAGGCAGCCGACCCGCUGUACUGUAGUCUUCCCUCCGGUCGCUCGCUCCCCUUCCCUUGACUGCGUUCCCUUCCGGGUCAGGGGCUGCCCCGGGCCCCUCGCAGCCGCGCUUCCCGCGGCGUGCCUGGCCCUACGCUUGGCGCCCCGUGGCCGUGGCCGUGUCCGCGUCCCGGCUGCAAGCUGCGGGAAGCCAAGCGUGCCGCUCCAGAGUCGGGGUGGGGACCGGCGGGUGGCAGCCCGGGACUCUGAAGACCACAGGCGCUCCCGACCAGCUCCGGGGUGAGCUUCCCAGAGGUCGGCGCCCCUGGACUCCCUGAUUCCUCGCUCUCGCCGAGGCCCCAGCUCGCCCACCGCCCCUCCACCCUGGAGCAGCCACAGCGGAGACCUGGAGCCCCGAGCGUGCUCCAUACCCGGCCAUUUGGAUCUGUCUGACCGGCUCCCUGUGUGGGCACUCAUUUCAGUUCUGCCUCAGCGCCUUCCUGGAAAACGGUGGUUCCUGAAUGAAAGAUGUCUAGAGAGAGAAACAAGUCUCCACCUUUGCAAGUUUUCGUACUGCUUUCAAAGAGCUAAAUGAAGCAGAAUGCAGUUUAAUGUUUGUCAGAGCUAAUCGCACCGGGUUAUUUUGAUAAAUGCAGUUUAAAGACA